GUGCACAUUUUGGCAGCACAUACACUAAAACUAGGAGGAUAUGGAGAUUAGCAUGGCCCCCAUGCAAGGAUGACAGGUAAAUUCAUGAAGCGUUCUAUUUUCGG
Molecule: small nuclear RNA, 104 nt
Organism: Mustela putorius furo (domestic ferret)
Lineage: Eukaryota; Metazoa; Chordata; Mammalia; Carnivora; Mustelidae
Source: Ensembl